AGUGAACGCUGGCGGUAGGCCUAACACAUGCAAGUCGAACGGCAGCACAGUAAGAGCUUGCUCUUACGGGUGGCGAGUGGCGGACGGGUGAGGAAUACAUCGGAAUCUACUUUUUCGUGGGGGAUAACGUAGGGAAACUUACGCUAAUACCGCAUACUACCUACGGGUGAAAGCAGGGGAUCUUCGGACCUUUCGCGAUUGAAUGAGCCGAUGUCGGAUUAGCUAGUUGGCGGGGUAAAGGCCCACCAAGGCGACGAUCCGUAGCUGGUCUGAGAGGAUGAUCAGCCACACUGGAACUGAGACACGGUCCAGACUCCUACGGGAGGCAGCAGUGGGGAAUAUUGGACAAUGGGCGAAAGCCUGAUCCAGCAAUACCGCGUGGGUGAAGAAGGCCUUCGGGUUGUAAAGCCCUUUUGUUGGGAAAGAAAAGCAGCAGGUUAAUACCCCGCUGUUCUGACGGUACCAAAAGAAUAAGCACCGGCUAACUUCGUG
This 492-nucleotide ribosomal RNA is filed under the name uncultured bacterium. Its description in RNAcentral is "partial 16S ribosomal RNA". It matches the Rfam family "Bacterial small subunit ribosomal RNA", at positions 29 to 507 of the family's 1533-position model. The record is from RNAcentral.